Arachis stenosperma is the source of this 303-nucleotide long non-coding RNA. RefSeq lists it as uncharacterized. Lineage: Eukaryota; Viridiplantae; Streptophyta; Magnoliopsida; Fabales; Fabaceae. The record is from RefSeq and is a predicted model, not a curated record. The transcript has 3 exons.
CACGUGUUGUUCUAACUCAAAGUCUUCAUCUUCUUGGAAUGUGGAGAUAAUUGCUUUGAAAAGUGGUCAGGACAAGAAAAUGGUGGCAUGCCUAAGUCUUUCAAGGAUGAGUGCUUUGAUACAAUGAUAAAGCCCCACUUCUAUUUUACAAGCACAGAAAAGAUUGCCUAUAGGUAUUGCAUUCAAAGUAUUGCAAAAAAGUGGGCAACAUAUAGGCAAAGAUUGUGGAAUGAGUUCUAUGAUCCAACCAUGAGAAGAGAAGCAUUGGUGAACAAUGUGCCUGAUGAUGUUCCAAGAGAUCAA